CCAAAUUUCUAGCCCUCUCUUCCUUUUAUAAUCCUUCUCUAUUAAUCUUCUAAAAUUAAAACAUUUUUUAAACUUAGUAUAGGCGAUAAAAAAAUUUCUUGGAGCAAUAAAAAUAGUACCGCAAGGGAAAGAUGAAAUAAUAAUGAAAUAAAUUUUAAGCACAAAAAAGUAGAGUUUUCCCCUCGUACCUUUUGCAUCAUGGUCUAACUAGUCUAAUUAGGCAAAAAGAUUUUUAGUCUAACCUCCCGAAACUAAGCGAGCUAUCUUAGGACAGCUUUUAGAGCUAACCCGUCCCUGUUGCAAAAGGGUGGGAAGAUCUUAAGAUAGUGGUGACAAACCUAACGAGCCUAGUGAUAGCUGGUUACUUUUGAAAAGGAUUUUAGUCCAACUUAAAGCUUCUUAUAUUUUUUAAAAUUAAACUUUAAAGUUAUUCAAAUAAGGUUCAGCCUAUUUGAAAAAGGAUACAACCUCAACUAGUGGGUUAUUAAGUUUUUUUACGAUCAAGUAGGCCUAAAAGCAGCCACCUUAAACAAAAGCGUCAAAGCUUUAUCAUUUUUUUAAACACAAUCUCCUAAUUCCCAUCCAACCCCUUACCACUAAAAAAGUAACUCUAUACUUCUAUAGAAGAUUUUAUGUUAGAACAAGUAACAAGAAGUUAGCCCUUCUCUUAAAUGUAAAUUUAUAUCAACUAGGACACCCCAUCGAUAAUUAACGCCCUUAAUUCUAUAGUAGUAACCCCCAAAGAAAAACCUACUUUAUUUUACGUUAACCUAACACAAGAACAUUUCAAGAAAGAUUAAAAAGAAAAGAAGGAACUCGGCAAAUAUUAGCCUCGCCUGUUUACCAAAAACAUCGCCUCUUGAUCUUCCAUAAGAGGUCCAGCCUGCCCAGUGACAUUGUUCAACGGCCGCGGUAUCCUAACCGUGCGAAGGUAGCGUAAUCACUUGCCCUUUAAAUGAGGACUAGUAUGAAUGGCCCCACGAAAGCUAUACUGUCUCCUUUCCUCAAUCAGUUAAACUAAUCUUCCCGUGAAGAAGCGGGAAUAAAAUUAUAAGACGAGAAGACCCUAUGGAGCUUUAAACAAUUGAAACAUUUGUAUUCAAAAUUUUCACUUCCGAAAUAUAUAAAUAAUUAACCUCUCUGUUUCUUGUUUUAGGUUGGGGUGACCACGGAGAAUAAAUCAACCUCCAUGAUGAACAGGAAUUUUUAUUUCUAAGCAAAAAACCACACUUUUAUGCAUCAAUAAAUUGACUCUCAUUGACCCAAUAAAUUGAUCAACGAACCAAGUUACCCUAGGGAUAACAGCGCAAUCCAUUUCAAGAGCUCUUAUCGACAAAUGGGUUUACGACCUCGAUGUUGGAUCAGGGUAUCCUAGUGGUGCAACCGCUACUAAUGGUUCGUUUGUUCAACGAUUAAAACCCU
Molecule: ribosomal RNA, 1422 nt
Filed under: Rheobates palmatus (palm rocket frog)
Lineage: Eukaryota; Metazoa; Chordata; Amphibia; Anura; Aromobatidae
Description: partial 16S ribosomal RNA
Rfam family: Bacterial large subunit ribosomal RNA
Source: RNAcentral